AUUGAACGCUGGCGGCAGGCUUAACACAUGCAAGUCGAGCGGGGUGAUGGUGCUUGCACUAUCACUUAGCGGCGGACGGGUGAGUAAUGCUUAGGGAUCUGCCUAUUAGUGGGGGACAACGUCUCGAAAGGGAUGCUAAUACCGCAUACGUCCUACGGGAGAAAGCAGGGGAUCACUUGUGACCUUGCGCUAAUAGAUGAGCCUAAGUCGGAUUAGCUAGUUGGUGGGGUAAAGGCCUACCAAGGCGACGAGCUGUAGCGGGUCUGAGAGGAUGAUCCGCCACACUGGGACUGAGACACGGCCCAGACUCCUACGGGAGGCAGCAGUGGGGAAUAUUGGACAAUGGGGGGAACCCUGAUCCAGCCAUGCCGCGUGUGUGAAGAAGGCCUUAUGGUUGUAAAGCACUUUAAGCGAGGAGGAGGCUCUUUUGGUUAAUACCCAGAAUGAGUGGACGUUACUCGCAGAAUAAGCACCGGCUAACUCUGUGCCAGCCGCCGCCGUAA
RNAcentral lists this ribosomal RNA (503 nucleotides) under uncultured bacterium. RNAcentral describes it as "partial 16S ribosomal RNA". It matches the Rfam family "Bacterial small subunit ribosomal RNA", at positions 30 to 523 of the family's 1533-position model. The record is from RNAcentral.